GACGGGUGAGUCGCGUGGGAGCGUGCCUUCUGGUCUGGAAUANCCCUGGGAGACUAGGGCUAGUACCGGAUACGCCCUUUUGGGGAAAGGUUUACUGCCGGAAGAUCGGCCCGCGUCUGAUUAGCUAGUUGGUGGGGUAACGGCCUACCAAGGCGACGAUCAGUAGCUGGUCUGAGAGGAUGAUCAGCCACACUGGGACUGAGACACGGCCCAGACUCCUACGGGAGGCAGCAGUGGGGAAUAUUGGACAAUGGGCGAAAGCCUGAUCCAGCAAUGCCGCGUGAGUGAUGAAGGCCUUAGGGUUGUAAAGCUCUUUUACCCGGGAUGAUAAUGACAGUACCGGGAGAAUAAGCUCCGGCUAACUCCGUGCCAGCAGCCGCGGUAAU
This 386-nucleotide ribosomal RNA is filed under the name uncultured bacterium. Its description in RNAcentral is "bacterial SSU rRNA". It matches the Rfam family "Bacterial small subunit ribosomal RNA", at positions 100 to 524 of the family's 1533-position model. The record is from RNAcentral.